UAAUGAUUUAAUGCCUGCUAUGCCCAGGCACUGUUCUGGGAAUUGAAGAUAAAAUGGCAAAUAAGAAAGACAAAGUCUUUGCUCUCAUAAAGCUUGUAUUCUAGCUGUAGGAGGCAGACAAUAAACGAGAGAAUUUCAGAGAGUGUUUAAGGCUAUGAAGAAAACAAAAUCAGGCGAAAGUGACGGGAAACAUAAAUUGGUAGUGAGAGCAGCCUCUUUAAAGAGAUUCCCUUAAAAGACAAGGAGUCAGCCAUGCAAAGAUCUGAGGACAACCAUCCCAGGCAUGAAGAGCAAGGAUGAAGGCCCUGGGGAGCGAAUGAGCUUAGUGUAUUUGGAAAAUUCAAAGGAUAGUGUUGGCAGGAGUUGGGGGGAGGACAAGGAGGAGGAGGAGGAAGAGGAGGAGAAAAGAGCUUCCUGUAGCACCUAGAAUCACCAUUUGGUUCAUCCUGCUGUGACUGUGCCCACCUGCCCACACUCCUGCCCCACAGAUGGUGACUUGUUCUUGGAACUCUUCCCUGUUUCUCUCACCCAGUCCAUGAGACAUAUUGGCAAAUAUCUCAACCACAACUGUAGAGAGGGUUCAAGUUAUUUCCUAUGGGUCUCCUAGCCUCAAGAAAAUCAGUGGAUGUGGGUAGGUCCCUUAAGUUUUCCUGAACAUUUCAUGGAAUUUAUGAAUAUUCUGCGAAAGGUAGAAGCCUGCUCUACAUAGACCUCACAAAGGACUUCUAGUGGUCUCACUUAACUCCUUGCCCUGUCCUAUCUGCACCCCAACUCCAUCCCUGCCAAAACAUUCUGUAAAAGUGGGGCAUUUUAUACCAGCAGGAGCUGACAAGCAUCACAAAAAGCUUUUUAUGUGAUAUAGCAAGCUUCCUGACACCAUAGAUGCUCCAAGAGAGGUGCAUUUGGUAAAAAUCAAACACAACUGCACACUAUUGGAGGAGAAAAAACAGAGAAUGUAAUGCUUUAAAUGAUUUGGGCCACUUGCUACUCCAUUCAAUGCAUGCAUGUGCCUGAGUGAGCAUGAGAUGAGCCUCUCAGCUCCCUUACUCCAUCACAUGAUGAAGAUUUUGUACUUGCAUGUCAGAGCAAACCAAGGGUUUAUCUGCUACUCAACUGAGGAAACAUUGCUCUCUUCCAAUGCUGGAGGGAAACUAGAAGGGCUAGACUUAUUGAUACAUGCCAAUUCGUUUCUAUUCCUCACUUACAGGAAUAUUGGGGGUAGGGUGUUUAGAUAAGGCUAGGUUGAAGCUGGUAUCUGGGUUAUAUCUUACGUAUAAUUUCAAAGGACUAAUUUUGACUUAUGUGAUGUUUGCUUUCCAUGGCUCUUCUUGUAUCUAGCCCUGUAGUCCCAUCCUAAUGGGACUCUGCCAUACUCAAAUAUUUUCUUUCAUUUUCAUUCUGAAUGUAUACCCCAGUGGGUUUUCAUUUUUCUUUUUCUCUUCCCACACCACCCCUUUGUUUUCUUGAUUUACCUUACCCUCAUUCCUUUCAUUCUUUGCUGCUUCCUCUUUUAUUGAGAAAGGAGAAUGAGACAAAACAAGCCACAACAUAAGCUUGCACAUACACACCCCAGCACUCCUGCCUCUGCUCUUUUUCCCUUCUUUUGAGACAGGGUCUCACUUUGUCGCCCAGGCUGGGUGCACUGGCACAAUCUUCACUCACUGCAGCCUCAACUUCUCCAGCUCAAGAGAUCCUCCUGCCUCAGCCUCCUGAGUAGCUGGGUCUACAGCACAUCUCCAUUCAGAAUAGCCACAUUUCAAGUACUUCAUAGCUACACACGGCUAAGUAGCCACCAACUACACAGCAGAGUGCAAGAAGAUGUCAGGGAACAAGGUAGAAGGAGCCUGGUUCCUGGAUGGCCUUAUGGAGCAAAGCCUCCCAUCAUGCUGGAUCUCCCAUUUACCUCUUGUUUAAAACACUGUGUUUUGGAUUCUGUUAGUAACAUGAGCUUAGCCUGUACUAUGACUAAUAUAACAUGGAAUGCUGGGAAAAAAUCAAAACACCCUCAUUUUACAGAUGGAGAAAUUGGCUCAGAGAGGUGAAGUGGCUUCCUGAGAUCACACAGUGAAUAUGUGACCAAGGAGGACCUGAAACCAACCCACCCAACAUCAAAGCCUGUGCGCUUUCCACCAGGCUGAGGUGUCCACCCCUGUGGUCAGUGUGUGUCUCAGUGUGGGACAAAGGAAAAACCAUGCAGCUUUGGAGGUCUCCAAACCUCCCAGUUUAGGAUAAACCCCUCAAUUAUGCUUGAAGUUGGACCAGCUUUUGAAACCUCUACUGGACAUUCUUUUCCCAUCAAGUUCCUUGAAAUGUC
RNAcentral lists this long non-coding RNA (2314 nucleotides) under Homo sapiens (human). RNAcentral describes it as "HSALNT0361537". The record is from RNAcentral. Lineage: Eukaryota; Metazoa; Chordata; Mammalia; Primates; Hominidae.